Pyrus x bretschneideri (Chinese white pear) is the source of this 421-nucleotide long non-coding RNA. RefSeq lists it as uncharacterized. NCBI's taxonomy places the organism in Eukaryota, Viridiplantae, Streptophyta, Magnoliopsida, Rosales, Rosaceae. The transcript has 3 exons. The record is from RefSeq and is a predicted model, not a curated record.
UUUGGACUUUUUAAGCUUGUAGAUGUGUUAGUGAGGUCUCAAGGAGCUUGGGAAUGCUUCGUUGGGUGAAUUUGGACGUCGGGAAAGCAAGGUUCAAAGUUGGCCGAUUCUAGAUUGUGUGGACAGGUGAUACGUACUCCGAGGACGAGCGUAUUCACUCGAGGCAGGGGGGCUACGACCCUUCCACUUAUCAGUUCUAGUUGCUUAGCGGUUGCGGUGGUCUUCCCAGAGGGCGUCCCGGCAUUUCUGACAGAUACUCACCAAUGUAGGGUCACCUUCGGGUGUAUUAUUGUCGUAUUAUUAUCCUUGGACUGCUGUAGUCUUGCUCUGAACUUAGUGUCUCACUUACGCUAGUACUUGUUUUAAUACUUUGUAUGCUAGGUUUUAAUUUAUUCGUACUUUUACAUUACUUUCUCUAGCU